This 194-nucleotide non-coding RNA is filed under the name Nocardia terpenica. The record is from RNAcentral. Lineage: Bacteria; Bacillati; Actinomycetota; Actinomycetes; Mycobacteriales; Nocardiaceae.
GUCCGCAGCGCCGAAACCGAUCCGCACGGAUCGGCGAGAGGGAACCCGGUGGGAAUCCGGGACUGUCCCGCAGCGGUAUACGGGAACGACCGCCGUCAUCGGCACUGGGCACGAGCCUGGGAAGCGACGGCCAGUAGGUGGCUCCAGGGGCCGCGCCCGCAAGUCCGAAGACCUGCCGGCUGUGCCGGAUACGC